RNAcentral lists this unclassified non-coding RNA (838 nucleotides) under Athalia rosae (coleseed sawfly). RNAcentral describes it as "misc RNA ENSAEAG00005008143.1". The record is from RNAcentral. Lineage: Eukaryota; Metazoa; Arthropoda; Insecta; Hymenoptera; Athaliidae.
GUUACCUGCAUCUCGAAGGCCUCCAUACAGCUCUGUGCAACAUGGUGCAGCUAUAUAUCAGCUAUUCAAACCAAGGAAAUUACAUUGUACGCUUAGAAGACACAGAUCAAACAGGACUCGUACCAGAUGCUGCCGGUAAACUCCAAGUGAAGCAAAGAGAAUCUUACUGCGUCAGUUUCAAAGUACAAGAAACAUGUUUGACUGGUGAUUCAACUCGGAGAGGAUAACUGGGUUCAUAAUAUCACCGAGUAUAUCUAUGGAGCAUAACUGUAGGUGCUACAGCAAGAUGAGAGGGAUUUUUUUAUUUCGAAUGCAAGGAUGUUCUAAUCGAAUGAUCGUAGACCAACCCAGAGAAAGAGACUCUGACGAUGAGGUUGUACUGAAGGGAGAAUUGCCACCGCUCCUUCAACUUGCAGAUUCGAUUCGCAAAAUCCUGAGUGGAGGAUGGUAAACCGAUUUCUGUGCGCUAUUUAUCCGGUAUCAGCACUUUCUGACGAGCAUCUCCUUACUUAGAACAGGAAGUGUGCUUACACCUGCAAGUUUAAAAAUUGCAAAAUAAUUAUCAUACACAUGCAUAGCGUCGAAUAGUUGAUGUAUGCGAAUAAGUCUUCAUGUAAUGUAUUCAUAAGUUCUAUUCAUUUGAAUUACUGGGGCAAUAUUGUAUCAUUGAAAUGAACAUUGUACAUCUUGUGAAAGAUAUUGCAAAGUUUUUUAUAAUUAUUUAAAUAAUGUAUGUAUGCUGAAUGUAUUCCUUGCAUAACUCAUGAAUAAAUGAUAGGCUAUUUUCAAACUGAAUACUUGUUUCCUAUUAUUUACACUCCUGGAACCAUCACACAUU